CCUCUGGUGGUCUAGUGGUUAGGAUGCGGCGCUCCCACCGCUGUGGCCUGGGUUCAAUUCCUGGUCAGGGAA
Molecule: transfer RNA, 72 nt
Filed under: Manacus vitellinus (golden-collared manakin)
Lineage: Eukaryota; Metazoa; Chordata; Aves; Passeriformes; Pipridae
Rfam family: tRNA
About the family: Transfer RNA (tRNA) molecules are approximately 80 nucleotides in length. Their secondary structure includes four short double-helical elements and three loops (D, anti-codon, and T loops).
Source: Rfam by way of RNAcentral